RNAcentral lists this ribosomal RNA (253 nucleotides) under uncultured bacterium. RNAcentral describes it as "partial 16S ribosomal RNA". It matches the Rfam family "Bacterial small subunit ribosomal RNA", at positions 524 to 776 of the family's 1533-position model. The record is from RNAcentral.
GACGAACCGUGCGAACGUUGUUCGGAAUCACUGGGCUUAAAGGGUGCGUAGGCGGCGCGGUAAGUCGGGUGUGAAAUCUUGGAGCUUAACUCCGAAACUGCAUUCGAUACUGCCGUGCUUGAGGACUGGAGAGGAGACUGGAAUUUACGGUGUAGCGGUGAAAUGCGUAGAUAUCGUAAGGAAGACCAGUGGCGAAGGCGGGUCUCUGGACAGUUCCUGACGCUGAGGCACGAAGGUCAGGGGAGCAAACGGG